CUAAGCUACGACAAAAGGAAAAGUAGUGUCCCCGGACCACGCACCAAAGGGAUUAUCCAUUUGCACGAGGUAUAGCUCAAUCAAUAAGUUGAAGUUCUGUCUUUCCAUUGCUUCGGAAUGCGGUAGCCUGGACUUCAAAAUAAAAAGGACUAUGCAUUCAACAAAGUAAAAUUUUAGGUCGGCUUCGAACAGAGAUCAGUCAGUAAACAACCUAGCCUUAUAAUUUCAAUAUUGAGAAAGGAUUGCAGUCCAAGAUUCCGGUCAGCUAAUCAAAGAAAGAAGCUUUCGGGCUACAAUCUCGCAAAUCUCAAUGUCAAGAAAGAGGGAAGGCCUGUCUUCUGUUCCAUGCUCUUUCGAGAGUUCGUAGAUUUGCCCAUUCUACCAUUGGAAGGCCUGCGAUUAGAACUAGUAAUGGGGGGAUGGAGUACAUGUGCUACGUGAAACUAGAGAUUUCCUUCUUUUUUAUUAAAUAGUAAAGACUUUCCUUCAUAAAGACUAGAUUCAAUGUGGUCGUAGAUCUGGGUUUUUAUUCCGGAAUGGUCGUAGAUCAGUGGAUCAGUCAAUGAAGCAUUUCCAGUCAAAGAGGGGAAUAGAUCUCAAUCGAGAGGGUGAGCUGCGGGCUCAUGCCACACAUUCACCUUGGCCAAAUGAAGAAAAGACGGGUUCUAGGGGUCCUUCUCAGGCAUGUGAUUCAGGCUCGUCAGGUGGUGGGACAUGAAAAAGUAUAGAGCAGGGAGCCCAGGAAGAGGAGCCGCAAGAGAGACAAAGGCUUUCCAGUCCUUUCCUUUGACAGCGACUUAGAAUGCCCUUGGCGAUCUUAAGGACUCACAAAGAAAGCCCCUCGGGCACCCCCUUAUUACUUAUAUAUAAGACAAAGCGUAAGUGUAGUUUACUUGCUUACUUGUUAGAGUUAAAGGCACCGAAGGUGUCGACCCUUAGCGUUUCACACUAAGCUACCUCGAGCCUUCCUCUAGUUCAAGAGUUCUAGUACUUGCGUUUCGUUCCAGUUCGAUGAUUCUUCUUCGCUUUUAAGGCUUGUUCAAUCAAUCUCAUGGGUUCCCAUGGCUCGUCCUAUAGAAAGGGGGAUACCCGGCAAGUAAAGGGAGCUUGCUUACUUAGUGCUUGCGCUAAGGUUCUGAAAGAACGUUAAAAGCAUUAUAUAGAUAUUUAAUAGAUCUUAUC
RNAcentral lists this long non-coding RNA (1182 nucleotides) under Fragaria vesca (wild strawberry). RNAcentral describes it as "long non-coding RNA (FVES_LNC004303)". The record is from RNAcentral. Lineage: Eukaryota; Viridiplantae; Streptophyta; Magnoliopsida; Rosales; Rosaceae.